Molecule: ribosomal RNA, 301 nt
Filed under: uncultured bacterium
Lineage: Bacteria
Description: partial 16S ribosomal RNA
Rfam family: Bacterial small subunit ribosomal RNA
Source: RNAcentral
CAGUAGCCACGGAAUACGGAGGGUGCAAGCGUUAUCCGGAUUUAUUGGGUUUAAAGGGUCCGUAGGCGGAUCUGUAAGUCAGUGGUGAAAUCUCACAGCUUAACUGUGAAACUGCCAUUGAUACUGCAGGUCUUGAGUAAAUUUGAAGUGGCUGGAAUAAGUAGUGUAGCGGUGAAAUGCAUAGAUAUUACUUAGAACACCAAUUGCGAAGGCAGGUCACUAAGAUUUAACUGACGCUGAUGGACGAAAGCGUGGGGAGCGAACAGGAUUAGAUACCCCGGUAGUCCCUGUCUCUUAUACC